AAAGUCCUGGGGUGUACGAGGCUCCCAUUUAUUUUGAACCUACAUUACUUUAAACGGGAUUCCUAUAUUGCCGUCUCAGAUGUCAGGCCGUCAUUGUGCAGCGGAAGACAGAAGAUUCGGCUGCGGUUGCCCACCUAGCAUAAGCUAGGAGUCAGAAGAUGGGAAACGGCACUCUGGGAUAAAA
Molecule: non-coding RNA, 184 nt
Filed under: Blautia hansenii
Lineage: Bacteria; Bacillati; Bacillota; Clostridia; Lachnospirales; Lachnospiraceae
Also listed under: 5 other names
Description: 6S RNA
Rfam family: 6S / SsrS RNA
About the family: E. coli 6S RNA was the first non coding RNA to be sequenced, but its function was unknown until recently.
Source: RNAcentral